Molecule: ribosomal RNA, 253 nt
Filed under: uncultured bacterium
Lineage: Bacteria
Description: partial 16S ribosomal RNA
Rfam family: Bacterial small subunit ribosomal RNA
Source: RNAcentral
UACGAAGGGGGCUAGCGUUGUUCGGAUUUACUGGGCGUAAAGCGCACGUAGGCGGAUCGUUAAGUCGGGGGUGAAAUCCUGGAGCUCAACUCCAGAACUGCCUUCGAUACUGGCGAUCUCGAGUCCGGAAGAGGUGAGUGGAACUCCUAGUGUAGAGGUGGAAUUCGUAGAUAUUAGGAAGAACACCAGUGGCGAAGGCGACUCACUGGUCCGGUACUGACGCUGAGGUGCGAAAGCGUGGGGAGCAAACAGG